This 328-nucleotide unclassified non-coding RNA is filed under the name soil metagenome. Its description in RNAcentral is "partial contains 5.8S ribosomal RNA, internal transcribed spacer 2, and large subunit ribosomal RNA". The stretch from base 1 to 120 matches the Rfam family "5.8S ribosomal RNA", at positions 35 to 154 of the family's 154-position model. The record is from RNAcentral.
GAUGAAGAACGCAGCGAAAUGCGAUAAGUAAUGUGAAUUGCAGAAUUCAGUGAAUCAUCGAAUCUUUGAACGCACAUUGCGCCCUCUGGUAUUCCGGGGGGCAUGCCUGUUCGAGCGUCAUUAUAACCACUCAAGCUCUCGCUUGGUAUUGGGGCUCGCGGUUCCGCGGCCCCUAAAAUCAGUGGCGGUGCCUGUCGGCUCUACGCGUAGUAAUACUCCUCGCGAUUGAGUCCGGUAGGUCUACUUGCCAGCAACCCCCAAUUUUUACAGGUUGACCUCGGAUCAGGUAGGGAUACCCGCUGAACUUAAGCAUAUCAAUAAGGGAGGA